CCGCUCGCGGCCCUCCCGCCUGGCUCUCGCCUCGGCCUGCGGCCGGGAUCCUCCGCCCGGGUCGCGCAGCGGAGGCCGAGGGCUGGGACGGGCGGCUGGGAAGUGGGAAAGGGAGCUCCUUUUGUCUUCUCUUCCCAUCCCCCAGGUUUGGGAAAGUUUUCCUUUUGGGAAAGCCCCUCUCUUCAGCCUGCUGGCGGGUGUCGGAUUGGUUAGCGACCACCGGCCCCCGCCUCCCCCAACAGGAUUCUCCUUUGGGCCACAGGUCUUCCGGAAGUUGCCAAACCCCGGUAGCGGCAGCGUCCGGCUGGGGGCUUUAUUAGGGGGCACCGGGGUCUGCUUUCCGACUCCCUUCCGACUCCGCGCCUGCGCAGGAAGCGAUUUGGGGAGUGUUGUGAAUUCCGAGGGCUCCACACUUAAGAGGUUGUACACUCACCUGUCUACCUGGACUCCAAUUUCCAUAUUUCCAGCCACUUGAGGACUGAGAGGUGGAUGAUAAACCCUGUCAUAGUGGAGCAAGUUCAGGUGUUUAACCGCUGUUAUGGGGGAUCUGCCUUUUCUCCCUCUUCUUUCUUACUUCCAUAAGUAUGUAUGUGCAGAGAUUGAAAAAUAACCUUGAGAGAGUCCAUCCAUCUAACUCCAGUUCAUUGGAAAUUUCUGCUUCUUUGAGACUGAGGUUAUAUUCCACUUCUUCUGACUACACCACCACCAUCAAUCUCCUUCUCUGAACUCUUGGAUCAUUACUUCAACCUGAAACAACUCAUCAGGCAGAAUAGUUGCCUACUGCCCCAACCCCACCAAAUGUUCCAGCACCUCUGAUAUUACCUCACAUGGCAAGAGGGCUUUGAAGAUGUGAUUGAGUCAAGGAUCUUGAAUGGGGAGAUUAUCCUGAAUUAUUCAGCUGGACCCAGUGUAAUCACAAAGGUUUUUCAAAGAUGGAAGAGAGGCAGAAGAGCCAGAAAAGGAUAUGUGACAAUGGAGUCAGUGUCAGAGUUGGAGUGACGUGAUGUGAGAAGGAUUCAACCUGCUGUUUCUGGCUUUGAGGAUGAAAGAAGG
This 1053-nucleotide long non-coding RNA is filed under the name Homo sapiens (human). Its description in RNAcentral is "non-protein coding lnc-NBN-1:16". The record is from RNAcentral. Lineage: Eukaryota; Metazoa; Chordata; Mammalia; Primates; Hominidae.